ACCCCUGUGAGAAUGCCCUCAGUUUUCUCCCCGAAAAUAAGGAGCUGGUAUCAGGCACAAUCAAGCUUUAGCCCAUGACACCUUGCUCAGCCACACCCCCACGGGCCCUCAGCAGUGAUAAACAUUAAGCCAUAAGUGAAAACUUGACUUAGUUCGAGCUUCCUGAGCCGGUUAAUCUCGUGCCAGCCGCCGCGGUUAGACGAGUCUUGGCUCUAGUUGACAGCUAACGGCGUAAAGGGUGGUUAAGGAACAUAUAUAAUAAAGUCGAAGACUUUCAUAACUGUUAUAAGUCAAUGAAGGUGCGAAGCUCAACGACAAAAGUGACUUUAUUCCCCCUGAACCCACUAAAGCUAUGACACAAACUGGGAUUAGAUACCCCACUAUGCAUAGCCGUAAACAUUGAUAGUUUCUUACAUACGCUAUCCGCCCGGGAACUACGAGCAACAGCUUAAAACCCAAAGGACUUGACGGUGCUUUAGACCCCCCUAGAGGAGCCUGUUCUAGAACCGAUACUCCACGUUAAACCUUACCUUUUCUUGUUCGCCCCGCCUAUAUAUUGCCGUCGUCAGCUUACCCUUUAAAGGAGAAAUAGUAAGCAGAAUUGGUAUUACCCAAAACGCCAGGUCGAAAUGUAGUGUAUGAAAAGGGAAGAAAUGGGCUACAUUCCGUAAAAUACUGAAUACGGACGGCAGACUGAAACGUCUUCCUGAAGGAGGAUUUAGCAGUAAGAAGAGAGUAGAAUACUCUUCUGAAACAGGCCCUGAAGCGCGUACACACCGCCCGUCACUCUCCCCGACAAACACACAAACUAUACUUUAAGCCUAAUUCUUUCUUAUAAGGGGAGGCAAGUCGUAACAUGGUAAGUGUACCGGAAGGUGCACUUGGAAACAACAAC
Molecule: non-coding RNA, 895 nt
Filed under: Cirrhilabrus temminckii (threadfin wrasse)
Lineage: Eukaryota; Metazoa; Chordata; Actinopteri; Labriformes; Labridae
Description: partial 12S rRNA
Rfam family: Bacterial small subunit ribosomal RNA
Source: RNAcentral